CCGUGCUAAGCGGGGAGGUAGCGGUGCCCUGUACUCGCAAUCCGCUCUAGCGAGGCUGAAUCCCUUCUCGAGGUUAGUCUGUUGUGAGGUCUGUCUCAAGCAAGUGGUGUUGACGUCUGGGUCCCGCGCAAUGGGAUUCCGUGAACCCUGUCAGGUCCGGAAGGAAGCAGCAGUAAGCGGAUGCUCCCAUGUGCCGCGGGGGUGCCUGGGCUGAGCUAACUACUUGAGCAACGCUCGGGGCAGCUAAUCGACAGAAGGUGCACGGC
RNAcentral lists this signal recognition particle RNA (266 nucleotides) under Geobacillus thermodenitrificans NG80-2. It matches the Rfam family "Bacterial large signal recognition particle RNA". Rfam says of the family: The signal recognition particle (SRP) is a universally conserved ribonucleoprotein involved in the co-translational targeting of proteins to membranes. Archaeal SRP consists of a 7S RNA and homologues of the eukaryotic SRP19 and SRP54 proteins. Lineage: Bacteria; Bacillati; Bacillota; Bacilli; Caryophanales; Anoxybacillaceae. The record is from RNAcentral.